This 416-nucleotide long non-coding RNA is filed under the name Mytilus galloprovincialis (Mediterranean mussel). The record is from RNAcentral. Lineage: Eukaryota; Metazoa; Mollusca; Bivalvia; Mytilida; Mytilidae.
UGCUGGGUUUAUUUCCUACAACUGUCAAAUUUACAGAAAUAUUUUUGUUGACCCUUUUCAACAUGAAACGGUAUGUGAUGUACCAUGUUUUGGUGUUAUAGCACCUAAUGUUAUAUACAUUUUAAAGUUCAAGAGAGAAAACACAGCACUGUAGUCAACAACUGGUAAGUUAACCCUGAUGUUUGAAUCUCAGUUAUCUGGUUAUAGGCUGAAUCUUUUAUGGUUCAACUAGAGUGCUGAGUAAACAUGAACCUAUCUACAGAAUGAGGAAAUGUUUACAGUGAAACCUGUAACCUAGUGACCAGACAAGGUGUUAGACUAUGACGGAUACUUACAAUCUAGUAUGAUAAACUGAUCAACACUAUGUCAACUUAUCACAUUGUACUAUAAUGCAUCACUAUCCUUUUUCUAAUUUG